This 74-nucleotide transfer RNA is filed under the name Rubricoccus marinus. It matches the Rfam family "tRNA". From Rfam's summary of the family: Transfer RNA (tRNA) molecules are approximately 80 nucleotides in length. Their secondary structure includes four short double-helical elements and three loops (D, anti-codon, and T loops). Further hydrogen bonds mediate the characteristic L-shaped molecular structure. tRNAs have two regions of fundamental functional importance: the anti-codon, which is responsible for specific mRNA codon recognition, and the 3' end, to which the tRNAs corresponding amino acid is attached (by aminoacyl-tRNA synthetases). tRNAs cope with the degeneracy of the genetic code in two manners: having more than one tRNA (with a specific anti-codon) for a particular amino acid; and 'wobble' base-pairing, i.e. permitting non-standard base-pairing at the 3rd anti-codon position. Lineage: Bacteria; Pseudomonadati; Rhodothermota; Rhodothermia; Rhodothermales; Rubricoccaceae. The record is from Rfam by way of RNAcentral.
GGGCGGUUAGCUCAGUUGGUUAGAGCACUUCGUUUACACCGAAGGGGUCCGGGGUUCGAGUCCCUGACCGCCCA